UAAGGCCCCUUCGGGGGUACACGAGCGGCGAACGGGUGAGUAACACGUGAGCAAUCUGCCCUUCACUUCGGGAUAACUACGGGAAACCGUGGCUAAUACCGGAUACGACCACUUCCGGCAUCGGAUGGUGGUGGAAAGUUCCGGCGGUGAAGGAUGAGCUCACGGCCUAUCAGCUUGUUGGUGGGGUAAUGGCCCACCAAGGCAACGACGGGUAGCCGGCCUGAGAGGGUGACCGGCCACACUGGGACUGAGACACGGCCCAGACUCCUACGGGAGGCAGCAGUGGGGAAUAUUGGACAAUGGGCGAAAGCCUGAUCCAGCAACGCCGCGUGAGGGAUGACUGCCUUCGGGUUGUAAACCUCUUUCAGCAGGGACGAAGCGCAAGUGACGGUACCUGCAGAAGAAGCACCGGCCAACUACGUGCCAGCAGCCGCGGUAAUACGUAGGGUGCGAGCGUUGUCCGGAAUUAUUGGGCGUAAAGGGCUCGUAGGCGGUUUGUC
This 500-nucleotide ribosomal RNA is filed under the name uncultured Actinomycetes bacterium. Its description in RNAcentral is "bacterial SSU rRNA". It matches the Rfam family "Bacterial small subunit ribosomal RNA", at positions 70 to 584 of the family's 1533-position model. Lineage: Bacteria; Bacillati; Actinomycetota; Actinomycetes. The record is from RNAcentral.